Molecule: small RNA, 76 nt
Filed under: Azospirillum lipoferum 4B
Lineage: Bacteria; Pseudomonadati; Pseudomonadota; Alphaproteobacteria; Rhodospirillales; Azospirillaceae
Description: suhB
Rfam family: Makes More Granules Regulator RNA (mmgR)
About the family: SuhB later renamed mmgR (makes more granules regulator) was a putative non-coding RNA found multiple times in the Agrobacterium tumefaciens genome and related alpha-proteobacteria. Other non-coding RNAs uncovered in the same analysis include: speF, ybhL, metA, and serC.
Source: RNAcentral
GCGUAACGCACUUCUUGGGCGUUUCCUCCCUAGACUGAAGGCCGCGGGUUCGCCCGCGGCCCUUUUUUUGCGCCAG